Molecule: ribosomal RNA, 253 nt
Filed under: uncultured bacterium
Lineage: Bacteria
Description: partial 16S ribosomal RNA
Rfam family: Bacterial small subunit ribosomal RNA
Source: RNAcentral
UACGUAGGGUGCGAGCGUUGUCCGGAAUUAUUGGGCGUAAAGAGCUCGUAGGCGGUCUGUCGCGUCGGCUGUGAAAACACGGGGCUCAACUCCGUGCCUGCAGUCGAUACGGGCAGACUAGAGUUCGGUAGGGGAGACUGGAAUUCCUGGUGUAGCGGUGAAAUGCGCAGAUAUCAGGAGGAACACCGGUGGCGAAGGCGGGUCUCUGGGCCGAAACUGACGCUGAGGAGCGAAAGCGUGGGGAGCGAACAGG